RNAcentral lists this ribosomal RNA (425 nucleotides) under Vibrio sp. P5-15. RNAcentral describes it as "bacterial SSU rRNA". It matches the Rfam family "Bacterial small subunit ribosomal RNA", at positions 95 to 514 of the family's 1533-position model. Lineage: Bacteria; Pseudomonadati; Pseudomonadota; Gammaproteobacteria; Vibrionales; Vibrionaceae. The record is from RNAcentral.
GCGGCGGACGGGUGAGUAAUGCCUGGGAAAUUGCCCUGAUGUGGGGGAUAACUAUUGGAAACGAUAGCUAAUACCGCAUAACGUCUACGGACCAAAGAGGGGGACCUUCGGGCCUCUCGCUUCAGGAUAUGCCCAGGUGGGAUUAGCUAGUUGGUGAGGUAAUGGCUCACCAAGGCGACGAUCCCUAGCUGGUCUGAGAGGAUGAUCAGCCACACUGGAACUGAGACACGGUCCAGACUCCUACGGGAGGCAGCAGUGGGGAAUAUUGCACAAUGGGCGCAAGCCUGAUGCAGCCAUGCCGCGUGUAUGAAGAAGGCCUUCGGGUUGUAAAGUACUUUCAGUCGUGAGGAAAGCAAUAUAGUUAAUAGCUGUAUCGUUUGACGUUAGCGACAGAAGAAGCACCGGGCUAACUCCGUGCCAGCCAG